ACGCUCGACACCUACGGGAGGCAGCAGUGGGGAAUAUUGCACAAUGGGGGAAACCCUGAUGCAGCGACGCCGCGUGAGUGAAGAAGUAAUUCGUUAUGUAAAGCUCUAUCAGCAGGGAAGAAAGUGGACGGUACCUGAGUAAGAAGCCCCCGGNUAACUACGUGCAAGCAGCCGCGGUAAUCUGAGCGGGCUGGCAAGGC
Molecule: ribosomal RNA, 200 nt
Filed under: uncultured bacterium
Lineage: Bacteria
Description: partial 16S ribosomal RNA
Rfam family: Bacterial small subunit ribosomal RNA
Source: RNAcentral